UGGGGAAUAUUGGACAAUGGGGGGAACCCUGAUCCAGCCAUGCCGCGUGUGUGAAGAAGGCCUUAUGGUUGUAAAGCACUUUAAGCGAGGAGGAGGCUCUCUUGGUUAAUACCCAAGAUGAGUGGACGUUACUCGCAGAAUAAGCACCGGCUAACUCUGUGCCAGCAGCCGCGGUAAUACAGAGGGUGCGAGCGUUAAUCGGAUUUACUGGGCGUAAAGCGUGCGUAGGCGGCUUUUUAAGUCGGAUGUGAAAUCCCCGAGCUUAACUUGGGAAUUGCAUUCGAUACUGGGAAGCUAGAGUAUGGGAGAGGAUGGUAGAAUUCCAGGUGUAGCGGUGAAAUGCGUAGAGAUCUGGAGGAAUACCGAUGGCGAAGGCAGCCAUCUGGCCUAAUACUGACGCUGAGGUACGAAAGCAUGGGGAGCAAACAGG
RNAcentral lists this ribosomal RNA (430 nucleotides) under bacterium. RNAcentral's name for it is "partial 16S ribosomal RNA". It matches the Rfam family "Bacterial small subunit ribosomal RNA", at positions 355 to 776 of the family's 1533-position model. RNAcentral also lists the same sequence under 8 other names. The record is from RNAcentral.